Molecule: small nucleolar RNA, 139 nt
Filed under: Echinops telfairi (small Madagascar hedgehog)
Lineage: Eukaryota; Metazoa; Chordata; Mammalia; Afrosoricida; Tenrecidae
Description: Small nucleolar RNA SNORA73 family (ENSETEG00000025681.1)
Source: RNAcentral
CCAAAGAUUAGCUAAGAACCUCAGAGUUCCCCAGGCUCUGGAGGAGCACAGGGCUCGGCGCCCCGGGAUGUACAGUCCUUUUCCACAACGUCGGAGAUCAAGCCGGGCCUGGAGCCUGCGCCUGCAUGUUCCUACAGCU